Molecule: long non-coding RNA, 451 nt
Organism: Pantherophis guttatus
Lineage: Eukaryota; Metazoa; Chordata; Lepidosauria; Squamata; Colubridae
Source: RefSeq, a predicted model, not a curated record
GGAAGCAGCGGCGGCGGCUGAGGGGAACAAGUUGCUGGACUUGGGUGCUGCUUCCCGCCGCUCAACUCCCGGGUUGGGGAGGGAGGAAGGGAGAGCGCGCGGGCGCCUGUGCGCGCGAGGCACGCCAGUAGAAUUCGAGCUGCCCGACCCUCGAGACGAAGUUAUUCCUGCAUCCUUCUCCAAUCUGGCGCCCUCCAGGUGCCGGCUGAGAAAGUUGCCUGGUAUGGCCAACUAAAAGACGCUUAUUUAUAGGUUAUUUAUAGGAUAAAACAAGGAAGAACCAUUGCACUGCUUAGAGCUCACUGGAGAAAGAGCCAACAUAAAUGCAAGUAAUAAAUCCACUGAAAAAACUUCUCUUCUUGAGAUUGGUUCCCUUUGUGUACUUUUUUCCAUGCUAACUCCAGUCAACGGAAGAUUACUUGUUUUGCAUUAAAAUGAUUGAUGAUGUGUA